GUCUACGGCCAUGCCACCCUGAACAAGCCCAAUCCUGUCUGAUCUCGGAAGCUAAGCAGGGUUGGGCCUGGUUAAUCCUUGGAUGGGAGACCACCUAGGAAGACCAGGUGCUGUAGGCA
This 119-nucleotide ribosomal RNA is filed under the name Pteropus alecto (black flying fox). The record is from RNAcentral. Lineage: Eukaryota; Metazoa; Chordata; Mammalia; Chiroptera; Pteropodidae.